GACGCCGCGGGCGACGAGGCGGAGGACGCGGACGAGGCCGAGGAGGGCUGCAGGGUGGGCCCGUUCAUGGCGGAGAGCGAGGUGGCGCGGCCAGGCUGAAAGACACGGUGGGGUGGGCGACAGGGAGGGAGCAGGCAGGACUCUGGAGAAAUCCCUGCUCACACGUGCAGAGAGUGAUGCGCGGGACAAUCCCUGACCAGACAUUUCCCGCUCCAGCGACCUCAACCCAUCAGACUGAGGUUGAUGGGAGAAACUGUGGCGCAGGCUGGAGCAUUCUGCCACGGUGGGAAAGGAUGAGGAAGACGUCUGCCACCACCUCGGGGAGAUACCCAAGGAUCCCACCAAGGGAAAGGCACAGCGCGGAACAACACACACUGCGAUCCCAUUUACACCAACACAGAAACCCAACUCCCGCAUGUUGAAAACACGGUUCAGAACAGAGCCUGGAGCCUGGCCCAGAUCCCAGCACCACCACCUGCCAGCUGUGUGACCGUGGGCGAGUCACUCGGUUUCUCUGCCUUCAUUUCCCUCUCUGUAAAUGGGGCCCAUGGCUGUACCUGUCUCAUGGGAGUGUCAUGAGGAUUAACUGAGUGAAUAAAUGCAAAGGCCUCAGAACCUAGGAGAAGCCUAA
Molecule: non-coding RNA, 631 nt
Organism: Equus caballus (horse)
Lineage: Eukaryota; Metazoa; Chordata; Mammalia; Perissodactyla; Equidae
Source: RefSeq, a predicted model, not a curated record